GGCGCAUGGGGCGCCCCGGCUCCGCCGGCAGCGCGCCCCCUCCGGCCCCGCCGCGCUGAACGCCCCCCAGCGCCGCGCCUCGAACCCCCGCCCCGAGGCCAUGCCGGUCAUGAAGGGGUUGCUGGCCCCGCAAAACACCUUUCUGGACACCAUCGCCACCCGAUUCGACGGCACUCACAGCAACUUCCUGCUGGCCAACGCACAGGGCCCACGGGGCUUUCCCAUUGUGUACUGCUCUGACGGAUUCUGUGAGCUCACAGGCUACGGCCGUACCGAGGUCAUGCAGAAAACCUGCAGCUGCCGCUUCCUCUAUGGUCCGGAGACCAGCGAGCCAGCACUGCAGAGGCUGCACAAGGCCCUGGAGGGCCAUCAGGAGCAUCGGGCUGAAAUCUGCUUCUAUCGAAAGGAUGGCUCAGCCUUUUGGUGCCUCUUGGACAUGAUGCCCAUCAAGAAUGAGAUGGGAGAGGUCGUGCUUUUCCUCUUUUCCUUCAAGGACAUCACUCAGAGUGGAGGCCCGGGACUUGGCCCCUCAGGAGGCCAUGGUGACAGUAAUCAUGAAAACUCGGGCGGUUUUGGUAGGAGGGGAGCCAGCUCAAGACUUCGAUCUGCCAGGAGGCAGAGCCGUACUGUCCUACACCGGCUGACUGGCCAUUUUGGCCGCCGGGGCCAGGGAGGCAUGAAAACCAAUAAUAACGUGUUUGAGCCAAAGCCAUCAGUGCCCGAGUACAAGGUGGCCUCCGUGGGGGGGUCCCGCUGCCUCCUCCUCCACUACAGCGUCCCCAAGGCCGUGUGGGACGGCCUCAUCCUCCUCGCCACCUUCUACGUUGCGGUCACCGUUCCCUACAAUGUCUGCUUCUUGGGCGAUGAUGACACCCCCAUCACUUCCCGACACACCCUUGUCAGCGACAUCGCCGUGGAGAUGCUCUUCAUCCUGGAUAUCAUCCUGAACUUCCGCACCACCUAUGUGUCCCAGUCCGGCCAGGUGGUCUCUGCUCCUCGUUCCAUCGGUCUUCACUACCUGGCCACCUGGUUCUUUGUUGACCUUAUUGCUGCUCUGCCUUUUGACCUGCUUUAUGUCUUCAACAUCACCGUGACAUCGCUGGUGCACCUUCUGAAGACGGUGCGGCUGCUGCGGCUGCUGCGGCUGCUGCAGAAGCUGGAGCGAUACUCACAGUGCAGCGCCGUGGUCCUCACACUACUCAUGUCCGUCUUCGCGCUCCUCGCCCACUGGAUGGCCUGCAUCUGGUACGUCAUCGGGCGCCGGGAGAUGGAGGCCAAUGACCCGCUGCUUUGGGACAUCGGCUGGUUGCACGAGCUGGGCAAGCGGCUGGAGGAGCCCUACGUCAAUGGCUCGGCGGGCGGCCCGUCGCGGCGCAGUGCCUACAUCGCUGCCCUCUACUUCACGCUGAGCAGCCUCACCAGCGUGGGCUUCGGCAACGUGUGCGCCAACACCGACGCGGAGAAGAUCUUCUCCAUCUGCACCAUGCUCAUAGGCGCGCUGAUGCACGCCGUGGUGUUCGGGAACGUGACGGCCAUCAUCCAGCGCAUGUACUCGCGCCGUUCACUCUACCACCGCCGCAUGAAGGACCUCAAGGACUUCAUCCGUGUGCACCGCCUGCCGCGGCCGCUCAAGCAGCGCAUGCUCGAGUCCUUCCAGACCACGUGGGCUGUCAACAGCGGCAUCGACGCCAACGAGUUACUGCGUGACUUCCCAGACGAGCUGAGAGCUGACAUCGCUAUGCACCUGAAUCGGGAGAUCCUGCAGCUGCCGCUGUUUGCAGCAGCGAGCAGAGGCUGCCUGCGGGCCCUCUCCCUGCACAUCAAGACCUCGUUCUGCGCUCCAGGCGAGUACCUGUUGCGCCGUGGGGACGCCCUGCAGGCACACUACUACGUCUGCUCCGGCUCGCUUGAGGUGCUUCGAGACAACAUGGUGCUGGCCAUCCUGGGGAAGGGGGACCUGAUUGGGGCAGAUAUCCCUGAGCCGGGGCAGGAGCCUGGGUCAGGGGCAGUCCCAAGCUGCGUGCUGAAGACCAGCGCUGACGUGAAGGCACUGACCUACUGUGGCCUGCAGCAGCUGAGCAGCAGAGGGCUGGCUGAGGUCCUGAGACUCUAUCCUGAGUACGGGGCUGCCUUCCGGGCUGGCCUGCCCCGGGACCUCACCUUCAACCUGCGCCAGGGCUCUGACACCAAUGGCCUCAGCCGCUUUUCCAGAUCUCCUCGCCUCUCCCAGCCCCGCUCUGAAAGCCUUGGCUCCUCCUCAGACAAGACCCUACCAUCCAUCACAGAGGCCGAGACUGGGGUGGAGUCUGGGGGUGGUUCCAGGCCCCGCCGGCCCCUCCUGCUGCCCAACCUCAGCCCAGCGCGGCCCCGGGGCUCCCUGGUCAGCCUCUUGGGCGAGGAGCUGCCCCCAUUCUCAGCCCUUGUCUCCUCCCCUUCCCUGUCCCCAUUCCCUUCCCCUGCCCUGGCUGGCCGGGGCCACAGCCCCUCCCCUCAUGGCCCCCCCAGGGGUUCUGCUGCCUGGAAGCCCCCCCAGCUUCUCAUUCCCCCACUGGGAACCUUUGGACCUCCGGACCUCAGUCCCCGGAUAGUGGAUGGCAUUGAGGACUCUGGCAGCACAGCGGAGGCCCCUACCUUUCGGUUCAGCAGGAGGCAUGAGCACGCUAGGCCCUGCUCACAGGCCCCUCCUUCAGGGACCAGGCCCAGCCAGGAACUGGCCACUGAGGCUGAGGAGAUGAAGGAAAAGGUCUGCAGGCUAAACCAGGAGAUCUCCCGCCUCAACCAGGAAGUGUCUCAGCUGAGCCGGGAGCUUCGACACAUCAUGGGCCUGCUACAGGCUAGGCUGGGUCCCCCAGUCCACCCAGUAGUCUCGGCUCGGCUCCCAGACCCUCCUGGUCCCCAGCUGAGGCCUCCACGCAUCUCACCCUGUCUAUCUGGACCACCGCCCAGCCUCCAGGAUACUACUUUUGCUGAGGUCCACUGCCCAGCCAGUGUGGGGACAGCAGAGAUGGGGGCCGCCCCCUCCAACCUGAGGCUCUCCGUGCUGUCCCCCUUCCCCUCAGAGCCUGAGCCUCUGGGACCUUCCCCAGUGCCAGAGGCCCCAUCCCCGACCCCAAGCCUCAUGCAGCACAGCUUUCGGUCCAGGUCAGACACGUUCCACUGACCCUGGCCCUGGGCCCAGGCCCGUCUGGGGUGGGCACUGCUGCUUGCCAUCCAGGGAGGGACUGGGCCCCUUGGCCUCCUGCCUCCGGUCAACAGCCACCGGCUGGUCUGGUUGGCUCUGCAUUCUCUGGACUUUUUAACAAAACCUGGUUACUUCGGACCCUCUUCCCUUUUCUAAACCUUCCCGUAUCCUUCCCCUCUGUGAGGGGGAGCCACCUGAGGCUGUGGAACCCAACAGGCAUGAGACAGAAUGCAGUGCCGAUCCGGCUGGGCAGAUGACAUGUCCUGCUUUCUCCCCAGGAUCUGGAGGCAGGCUGUCCCUGAAGGUGGUCUUUUCUGCUGCCAGCAACUUGAAACAGUCCCCACGGCACUCCCUACCCCUCCCCUCACCAGACCUCUUCUGAGCCUGUUCUCCCCACACCCA
Neofelis nebulosa (Clouded leopard) is the source of this 3583-nucleotide RNA transcript. It is a transcript of the gene named potassium voltage-gated channel subfamily H member 4, with no coding region annotated. Lineage: Eukaryota; Metazoa; Chordata; Mammalia; Carnivora; Felidae. The record is from RefSeq and is a predicted model, not a curated record. The transcript has 17 exons.